UGUGACACCCGACCCCCUUGCUGCCUG
RNAcentral lists this non-coding RNA (27 nucleotides) under Mus musculus (house mouse). The record is from RNAcentral. Lineage: Eukaryota; Metazoa; Chordata; Mammalia; Rodentia; Muridae.